UACGUAGGGGGCAAGCGUUGUCCGGAAUCAUUGGGCGUAAAGAGCGUGUAGGUGGCUCGGUAAGUCCGCUGUGAAAGUCCAGGGCUCAACCCUGGAAAGCCGGUGGAAACUGUCGAGCUCGAGUCCGGAAGAGGCGAGUGGAAUUCCUGGUGUAGCGGUGAAAUGCGCAGAUAUCAGGAGGAACACAAUGGCGAAGGCAGCUCGCUGGGACGGUACUGACACUGAGACGCGAAAGCGUGGGGAGCAAACAGG
This 252-nucleotide ribosomal RNA is filed under the name uncultured bacterium. RNAcentral's name for it is "partial 16S ribosomal RNA". It matches the Rfam family "Bacterial small subunit ribosomal RNA", at positions 524 to 776 of the family's 1533-position model. The record is from RNAcentral.